UUAAGCGACUAAGCGUACACGGUGGAUGCCCUGGCAGUCAGAGGCGAUGAAGGACGUGCUAAUCUGCGAAAAGCGUCGGUAAGGUGAUAUGAACCGUUACAGCCGGCGAUGUCCGAAUGGGGAAACCCAGUGCAAUUCGUUGCACUAUCGUUAACUGAAUACAUAGGUUAACGAGGCGAACCGGGGGAACUGAAACAUCUAAGUACCCCGAGGAAAAGAAAUCAACCGAGAUUCCCCCAGUAGCGGCGAGCGAACGGGGAGCAGCCCAGAGUCUGAAUCAGCUUGUGUGUUAGUGGAACGGUCUGGAAAGUCCGACGGUACAGGGUGAUAGUCCCGUACACCAAAAUGCACAGGCUGUGAACUCGAAGAGUAGGGCGGGACACGUGGUAUCCUGUCUGAAUAUGGGGGGACCAUCCUCCAAGGCUAAAUACUCCUGACUGACCGAUAGUGAACCAGUACCGUGAGGGAAAGGCGAAAAGAACCCCGGCGAGGGGAGUGAAAAAGAACCUGAAACCGUGUACGUACAAGCAGUGGGAGCACCUUCGGGUGUGACUGCGUACCUUUUGUAUAAUGGGUCAGCGACUUAUAUUCUGUAGCAAGGUUAACCGUAUAGGGGAGCCGCAGGGAAACCGAGUCUUAACUGGGCGUUAAGUUGCAGGGUAUAGACCCGAAACCCGGUGAUCUAGCCAUGGGCAGGUUGAAGGUUGGGUAACACUAACUGGAGGACCGAACCGACUAAUGUUGAAAAAUUAGCGGAUGACUUGUGGCUGGGGGUGAAAGGCCAAUCAAACCGGGAGAUAGCUGGUUCUCCCCGAAAGCUAUUUAGGUAGCGCCUCGUGAACUCAUCUUCGGGGGUAGAGCACUGUUUCGGCUAGGGGGUCAUCCCGACUUACCAACCCGAUGCAAACUACGAAUACCGAAGAAUGUUAUCACGGGAGACACACGGCGGGUGCUAACGUCCGUCGUGAAGAGGGAAACAACCCAGACCGCCAGCUAAGGUCCCAAAGUCAUGGUUAAGUGGGAAACGAUGUGGGAAGGCACAGACAGCCAGGAUGUUGGCUUAGAAGCAGCCAUCAUUUAAAGAAAGCGUAAUAGCUCACUGGUCGAGUCGGCCUGCGCGGAAGAUGUAACGGGGCUAAACCAUGCACCGAAGCUGCGGCAGCGACACUAUGUGUUGUUGGGUAGGGGAGCGUUCUGUAAGCCUGCGAAGGUGUGCUGUGAGGCAUGCUGGAGGUAUCAGAAGUGCGAAUGCUGACAUAAGUAACGAUAAAGCGGGUGAAAAGCCCGCUCGCCGGAAGACCAAGGGUUCCUGUCCAACGUUAAUCGGGGCAGGGUGAGUCGACCCCUAAGGCGAGGCCGAAAGGCGUAGUCGAUGGGAAACAGGUUAAUAUUCCUGUACUUGGUGUUACUGCGAAGGGGGGACGGAGAAGGCUAUGUUAGCCGGGCGACGGUUGUCCCGGUUUAAGCAUGUAGGCUGGUUGUCCAGGCAAAUCCGGAUAAUCAAGGCUGAGGUGUGAUGACGAGGCACUACGGUGCUGAAGUAACAAAUGCCCUGCUUCCAGGAAAAGCCUCUAAGCAUCAGGUAACAUCAAAUCGUACCCCAAACCGACACAGGUGGUCAGGUAGAGAAUACCAAGGCGCUUGAGAGAACUCGGGUGAAGGAACUAGGCAAAAUGGUGCCGUAACUUCGGGAGAAGGCACGCUGGUGUGUAGGUGAAGUCCCUGCGGAUGGAGCUGAGACCAGUCGAAGAUACCAGCUGGCUGCAACUGUUUAUUAAAAACACAGCACUGUGCAAACACGAAAGUGGACGUAUACGGUGUGACGCCUGCCCGGUGCCGGAAGGUUAAUUGAUGGGGUUAUCCGUAAGGAGAAGCUCUUGAUCGAAGCCCCGGUAAACGGCGGCCGUAACUAUAACGGUCCUAAGGUAGCGAAAUUCCUUGUCGGGUAAGUUCCGACCUGCACGAAUGGCGUAAUGAUGGCCAGGCUGUCUCCACCCGAGACUCAGUGAAAUUGAACUCGCUGUGAAGAUGCAGUGUACCCGCGGCAAGACGGAAAGACCCCGUGAACCUUUACUAUAGCUUGACACUGAACAUUGAGCCUUGAUGUGUAGGAUAGGUGGGAGGCUUUGAAGCGUGGACGCCAGUCUGCGUGGAGCCAACCUUGAAAUACCACCCUUUAAUGUUUGAUGUUCUAACGUUGGCCCCUUAUCGGGGUUGCGGACAGUGUCUGGUGGGUAGUUUGACUGGGGCGGUCUCCUCCCAAAGCGUAACGGAGGAGCACGAAGGUUAGCUAAUCCUGGUCGGACAUCAGGAGGUUAGUGCAAUGGCAUAAGCUAGCUUGACUGCGAGCGUGACGGCGCGAGCAGGUGCGAAAGCAGGUCAUAGUGAUCCGGUGGUUCUGAAUGGAAGGGCCAUCGCUCAACGGAUAAAAGGUACUCCGGGGAUAACAGGCUGAUACCGCCCAAGAGUUCAUAUCGACGGCGGUGUUUGGCACCUCGAUGUCGGCUCAUCACAUCCUGGGGCUGAAGUAGGUCCCAAGGGUAUGGCUGUUCGCCAUUUAAAGUGGUACGCGAGCUGGGUUUAGAACGUCGUGAGACAGUUCGGUCCCUAUCUGCCGUGGGCGCUGGAGAAUUGAGGGGGGCUGCUCCUAGUACGAGAGGACCGGAGUGGACGCAUCACUGGUGUUCGGGUUGUCAUGCCAAUGGCACUGCCCGGUAGCUAAAUGCGGAAGAGAUAAGUGCUGAAAGCAUCUAAGCACGAAACUUGCCCCGAGAUGAGUUCUCCCUGAGACUUUAAGUCUCCUGAAGGAACGUUGAAGACGACGACGUUGAUAGGCCGGGUGUGUAAGCGCAGCGAUGCGUUGAGCUAACCGGUACUAAUGAACCGUGAGGCUUAACCUU
RNAcentral lists this ribosomal RNA (2900 nucleotides) under Klebsiella pneumoniae subsp. pneumoniae. Its description in RNAcentral is "bacterial LSU rRNA". It matches the Rfam family "Bacterial large subunit ribosomal RNA". Lineage: Bacteria; Pseudomonadati; Pseudomonadota; Gammaproteobacteria; Enterobacterales; Enterobacteriaceae. The record is from RNAcentral.